CACUGCUUGGUGGGAAUCACCCACUGCUGAGAGUGUGACAGGAACAAACCUCUGUGGCUGUGACUGUCCCCAACACCCCCAGAGUUCCCUGGGGGGGGUGUCAGUGCUCUGCCCAGGGAGACAAGGAGAAAGGGGCUGAUGUUUGGUGCCCAGUAAAUCUGAAGGGCUUUAAUCCAGUCCUGACUCACCUGUUGGGAGCUGGGAGCAGGGGUGGGAUCCGUGCUGGGGCUGCCACGGCUUCACCUGGAAGUGUGGAUGGACCCAGAGCACAACCAAAGAGCCUCAGUCACCACCCCCUGCUCCUGGGGGGGCCCAUCCCUGAGGGAAUGGAGCCGGGAGAACCAGCUGGGAGAUGUGGCCUAUGGAAAAACCUCCUUGUCCAGGCAGUGCUGCUCCCCACGGGUGACAUUCCUUGGGGAAACACGGGCAGCAGUGGGUUUUCCUUCUCUUUUGGUGUGGCAGCCUCGUGUCUGGCAAGCUGAGAGUUUACACCCCACCCCCCCACCCCAUCUACCCCAAAGCUCAGACUUGAGUUCAAAAGUUCAAAACUUGAGUUCAAAAGUUCAAAACUUGAGUUUAGAAGUUUAAAACUUGAGUUUAAAAGUUUUAAAACUUAAGUUUAAAACUUAAGUUUUAAAUUGUUUUCUCCUCUGGUGGAUUAUCUGGCAUGAAAUCCCCAAUCCCUGUAAUAAAUAUUCAGAUGAUAAUAUAUACAAAGCAAGAAAAAAAA
This is a long non-coding RNA of Neopelma chrysocephalum (saffron-crested tyrant-manakin), 730 nucleotides long. RefSeq lists it as uncharacterized. The record is from RefSeq and is a predicted model, not a curated record. The transcript is spliced from 3 exons. NCBI's taxonomy places the organism in Eukaryota, Metazoa, Chordata, Aves, Passeriformes, Pipridae.